GAUGAACGCUGGCGGCGUGCCUAAUACAUGCAAGUCGAGCGAACGGACGAGAAGCUUGCUUCUCUGAUGUUAGCGGCGGACGGGUGAGUAACACGUGGAUAACCUACCUAUAAGACUGGGAUAACUUCGGGAAACCGUAGCUAAUACCGGAUAAUAUUUUGAACCGCAUGGUUCAAAAGUGAAAGACGGUCUUGCUGUCACUUAUAGAUGGAUCCGCGCUGCAUUAGCUAGUUGGUAAGGUAACGGCUUACCAAGGCAACGAUGCAUAGCCGACCUGAGAGGGUGAUCGGCCACACUGGAACUGAGACACGGUCCAGACUCCUACGGGAGGCAGCAGUAGGGAAUCUUCCGCAAUGGGCGCAAGCCUGACGGAGCAACGCCGCGUGAGUGAUGAAGGUCUUCGGGUCGUAAAACUCUGUUAUUAGGGAAGAACAUAUGUGUACGUAACUGUGCACAUCUUGACGGUACCUAAUCAGAAAGCCACGGCUAACUACGUG
RNAcentral lists this ribosomal RNA (497 nucleotides) under uncultured bacterium. Its description in RNAcentral is "partial 16S ribosomal RNA". It matches the Rfam family "Bacterial small subunit ribosomal RNA", at positions 28 to 507 of the family's 1533-position model. The record is from RNAcentral.